AAGGGGCAGUAAGGCGUGGGUAACCUGCCUCGGAGUUGGGGAUAGCCUCUCUAACGAGAGGGUAAUACCCGAUGUCAUGUCGGAGGGGCCUCCUUCUGACAUGAAAGCUCAGGCGCUCCGAGAGGGGCCCACGUGAUAUUAGCUUGUUGGUGAGGUAACGGCUCACCAAGGCCAAGAUGUCUAGCAGGUGUGAGAGCACGACCUGCGCCACUGGCACUGGGACACUGGCCAGACUCCUACGGGAGGCUGCAGUCGAGGAUCUUCGGCAAUGGGCGCAAGCCUGACCGAGCGACGCCGCGUGUGCGAUGAAGGCCUUCGGGUUGUAAAGCACUGUCGGGGGGAAGAAAAGCCGCAAGGCUUGAUCGACCCCCGGAGGAAGCACGGGCUAAGUUCGUGCCAGCAGCCGCGGUAAGACGAACCGUGCGAACGUUGUUCGGAAUCACUGGGCUUAAAGGGCGCGUAGGCGGGCAGGCAAGUCAGGGGUGAAAGCCCACGGCUCAACCGUGGAAGUGCCUUUGAUACUGCUUGUCUUGAGGGAGGUAGGGGCGUGCGGAACUUCCGGUGGAGCGGUGAAAUGCGU
This 580-nucleotide ribosomal RNA is filed under the name uncultured Planctomycetaceae bacterium. RNAcentral describes it as "bacterial SSU rRNA". It matches the Rfam family "Bacterial small subunit ribosomal RNA", at positions 102 to 691 of the family's 1533-position model. Lineage: Bacteria; Pseudomonadati; Planctomycetota; Planctomycetia; Planctomycetales; Planctomycetaceae. The record is from RNAcentral.